RNAcentral lists this ribosomal RNA (253 nucleotides) under uncultured bacterium. RNAcentral describes it as "partial 16S ribosomal RNA". It matches the Rfam family "Bacterial small subunit ribosomal RNA", at positions 524 to 776 of the family's 1533-position model. The record is from RNAcentral.
UACGUAGGGGGCAAGCGUUGUCCGGAUUUAUUGGGCGUAAAGAGCUUGUAGGCGGCCAUACAGGUCCGUUGUGAAAACUGGAGGCUUAACCUCCAGACGUCGAUGGAAACCGUAUGGCUAGAGUCCGGAAGAGGAGAGCGGAAUUCCUGGUGUAGCGGUGAAAUGCGCAGAUAUCAGGAAGAACACCCGUGGCGAAGGCGGCUCUCUGGGACGGUACUGACGCUGAGACGCGAAAGCGUGGGGAGCAAACAGG